AGUGAACGCUGGCGGUAGGCCUAACACAUGCAAGUCGAACGGCAGCACAGUAAGAGCUUGCUCUUACGGGUGGCGAGUGGCGGACGGGUGAGGAAUACAUCGCAAUCUACUUUUUCGUGGGGGAUAACGGAGGGAAACUUACGCUAAUACAGCAUACUACCUACGGGUGAAAGCAGGGGAUCUUCGGACCUUGCGCGUUUGAAUGAGACGAUGUCGGAUUAGCUAGUUGGCGGGGUAAAGGCCCACCAAGGCGACGAUCCGUAGCUGGUCUGAGAGGAUGAUCGGCCACACUGGAACUGAGACACGGUCCAGACUCCUACGGGAGGCAGCAGUGGGGAAUAUUGGACAAUGGGCGCAAGCCUGAUGCAGCCAUGCCGCGUGGGUGAAGAAGGCCUUCGGGUUGUAAAGCCCUUUUGUUGGGAAAGAAAAGCAGCAGGUGUAUCCGCCGCUGUUCUGACGGUACCCAAAGAAUAAGCACCGGCUAACUUCGUG
RNAcentral lists this ribosomal RNA (492 nucleotides) under uncultured bacterium. RNAcentral describes it as "partial 16S ribosomal RNA". It matches the Rfam family "Bacterial small subunit ribosomal RNA", at positions 29 to 507 of the family's 1533-position model. The record is from RNAcentral.